Molecule: long non-coding RNA, 236 nt
Organism: Colius striatus (speckled mousebird)
Lineage: Eukaryota; Metazoa; Chordata; Aves; Coliiformes; Coliidae
Exons: 3
Source: RefSeq, a predicted model, not a curated record
CUGUGGUGCUGCAGCUAUUUGAAAGCCAAGACCAGGAGAUGCAUCAGCUGAAGCUGGAUGUGGCCCAGCUGCUCGCGGGGAUGGGUCAGCUGAAGUUCAUGGAGGAGGAAAAGCUGGGAAAGGUGGAGCAGCUCAGAAUACAGAGCUCUGAGGUGUUGCAGCGAUUUGAAAGCCGAGAACGGGAGAUGCAUCGGCUGAAGCUGAAGGUGUCCCAGUUGGUGGCGGGGAUGGCUCAG